GACGAACGCUGGCGGCGUGCUUAACACAUGCAAGUCGAGCGGUAAGGCCCUUUCGGGGGUACACGAGCGGCGAACGGGUGAGUAACACGUGGGUGACCUGCCCUUAGCUCUGGGAUAAGCCUGGGAAACUGGGUCUAAGUACCGGAUAUGACUCCAUGACGCAUGUUGUGGGGUGGAAANCCUUGUGCGGCUAGGGAUGGGCCCGNGGCCUAUCA
This 215-nucleotide ribosomal RNA is filed under the name uncultured bacterium. Its description in RNAcentral is "partial 16S ribosomal RNA". It matches the Rfam family "Bacterial small subunit ribosomal RNA", at positions 28 to 243 of the family's 1533-position model. The record is from RNAcentral.